AAUAGAUACCCGGGUAGUCCACGCCGUAAACGAUGAGUGCUAAGUGUUAGAGGGUUUCCGCCCUUUAGUGCUGCAGCUAACGCAUUAAGCACUCCGCCUGGGGAGUACGGUCGCAAGACUGAAACUCAAAGGAAUUGACGGGGGCCCGCACAAGCGGUGGAGCAUGUGGUUUAAUUCGAAGCAACGCGAAGAACCUUACCAGGUCUUGACAUCCUCUGACAACUCUAGAGAUAGAGCGUUCCCCUUCGGGGGACAGAGUGACAGGUGGUGCAUGGUUGUCGUCAGCUCGUGUCGUGAGAUGUUGGGUUAAGUCCCGCAACGAGCGCAACCCUUGAUCUUAGUUGCCAGCAUUUAGUUGGGCACUCUAAGGUGACUGCCGGUGACAAACCGGAGGAAGGUGGGGAUGACGUCAAAUCAUCACUACCCCUUAUGACCGUGGGCUACACACGUGCUACAAUGGAUGGUACAAAGGGCUGCAAGACCGCGAGGUCAAGCCAAUCCCAUAAAACCAUUCUCAGUUCGGA
RNAcentral lists this ribosomal RNA (524 nucleotides) under uncultured bacterium. Its description in RNAcentral is "bacterial SSU rRNA". It matches the Rfam family "Bacterial small subunit ribosomal RNA", at positions 777 to 1297 of the family's 1533-position model. The record is from RNAcentral.